This 1005-nucleotide ribosomal RNA is filed under the name Triticum aestivum (bread wheat). RNAcentral's name for it is "partial small subunit ribosomal RNA". Lineage: Eukaryota; Viridiplantae; Streptophyta; Magnoliopsida; Poales; Poaceae. The record is from RNAcentral.
AUGCUGUCGGCGCGGAGCCUGCGGAAGGCGUCCGUCCCGCCGUCCCUUCUCUCCGACCCCUCGCCCGGCUGCCUCCAGCCCACGCGCCUCGCCGUCCACGUGCGUCAAUGGCGACGGCGGAUCCUGCUCCGCGUACUUCGCCUCCGGUUGCCGCGUCUACAAGCUCGAGAUAUCCAUGGAAGAAGAGAUGCUGUCCAGAGGAAAAGAGAGCCUGUUGAUUCCUAUCAGUGCGCAGGUGAUAGCUGCUUGAUUUUGGGAACUGUCGACGCUUACAGUCACCUCAUUGUAUCCCGUUUGGACACUGUGGCAGAGGACAUCGACAGGGCGUCCUAUUCAGUACCACCUCGUGAUAGUGGCGUCGGAGAAGGAAGUUGGGCUGGGUUGUGUUUUAGUCCAACACACCAAUCCACGGUAGCUGUUGCCCGUGAAUUGUGUAAGAGCAUUGAUAUCUAUGAUCAAGAUAUUCAUAUUCGGAGUUUACGUGCGUUAUGGUGCCCAUCUUCAGUAAGGUUUGCUCAAGGGAGUGAAAGUAGUUCGAUAUUGACAAUUACUGAAGGUCCUCAGCUGAGCAUCUGGGACUUCAGAAUGCAUAACAACGGUGGAUGUGUACAACGCAUUUCUGGUCCUACUGGAGGCAUAUUAUACUCAGUCUGUACCUCUCCUUCAGGACUGAUUGCUGUCGGUGGAACUGAUCGUGCUGUCACAGUCUAUGAUCCUCGCAGGUGGUCAGCCUUAUCAAGAUGGGUGGGCUGCUCCAAGUAUGAGAUUACUGGUCUUUCGUUUUCGUCAGUGGACCAAUCCUUCAUAUACGUCCAAGGUGUUGAUUAUGAGAUUACUUGUGGACGCUGGAGAGAAAGUAAGUGCGCAUUCUCAUUUCGAGGUGAUUCGAACUGGCUGGGCUUUUCAAAGUGUGCGAAUACAGAUGUGGUUGCUGGGUGGUGCGAGUCUGGAAGUAUCUUCGUUGCCGAUGUUAGGCAGGAUCUUCUCUCGGUAAUUGGGGUUUAA